RNAcentral lists this small RNA (77 nucleotides) under Microcebus murinus (gray mouse lemur). RNAcentral describes it as "Y RNA (ENSMICG00000046296.1)". Lineage: Eukaryota; Metazoa; Chordata; Mammalia; Primates; Cheirogaleidae. The record is from RNAcentral.
GAGUGCAGUGUUGUUUACAACUAAUUGAUCACAGUUAUAGAUUCCUUUGUUCCUUCUUCCUUCCCACUGCUUCACUU